GUACUAAGGUAGCACAAUAAAAUGCCUUUCAAUUAAAGGAUAGAAUGAAAGAAGACACGUAAUUGUUCUAAAUAAAAUCUUUUACAAUAUUUAACCUAUAACUAAAAUAAAAAUAUUUUAGUACUCGAGAAAGACGACAAGACCCUGUUGAAUUUAAACUAAAAAGUUCUACUGGGGCGGUAUUUAUACAAAAACUUUCCAAUUUCUAACACUAAACUAAUAUUAAAACAGAAACAAAUUACCACAGGGAUAACAGCGCAAUUGUAUUAAAUAGCACACAUACAAAAUACAGGUUACGACCUCGAUGUUGAAUUAAUUUAUCUAUAAUAAGAAACAUUAUUAUAAGAAGGUCUGUUCGACCUAUAAAAAAUUACAUGAU
Molecule: ribosomal RNA, 379 nt
Filed under: Scytodes fusca
Lineage: Eukaryota; Metazoa; Arthropoda; Arachnida; Araneae; Scytodidae
Also listed under: 1 other name
Description: partial large subunit ribosomal RNA
Source: RNAcentral